GUGCCUAACACAUGCAAGUUGAGCGAUUUACUUCGGUAAAGAGCGGCGGACGGGUGAGUAACGCGUGGGUAACCUACCCUGUACACACGGAUAACAUACCGAAAGGGAUGCUAAUACGGGAUAAUAUAUUUGAGAGGCAUCUCUUGAAUAUCAAAGGUGAGCCAGUACAGGAUGGACCCGCGUCUGAUUAGCUAGUUGGUAAGG
Molecule: ribosomal RNA, 204 nt
Filed under: Clostridioides difficile
Lineage: Bacteria; Bacillati; Bacillota; Clostridia; Peptostreptococcales; Peptostreptococcaceae
Description: partial 16S ribosomal RNA
Rfam family: Bacterial small subunit ribosomal RNA
Source: RNAcentral